Molecule: transfer RNA, 75 nt
Organism: Thermoplasmatales archaeon SCGC AB-539-C06
Lineage: Archaea; Methanobacteriati; Thermoplasmatota; Thermoplasmata; Thermoplasmatales
Rfam family: tRNA
About the family: Transfer RNA (tRNA) molecules are approximately 80 nucleotides in length.
Source: Rfam
GCUCCCGUGGUGUAGUCCGGCCAAUCAUUCUGGCCUUUCGAGCCAGCUACACGGGUUCGAAUCCCGUCGGGAGCA